This 497-nucleotide ribosomal RNA is filed under the name Pseudosphromenus cupanus (spiketail paradisefish). RNAcentral's name for it is "partial 12S ribosomal RNA". It matches the Rfam family "Bacterial small subunit ribosomal RNA", at positions 801 to 1533 of the family's 1533-position model. The record is from RNAcentral. Lineage: Eukaryota; Metazoa; Chordata; Actinopteri; Anabantiformes; Osphronemidae.
UAAACAUUGAUAGAUUGUUACAUCCACUAUCCGCCAGGGUACUACGAGCAUCAGCUUAAAACCCAAAGGACUUGGCGGUGCUUAAGAUCCACCUAGAGGAGCCUGUUCUAGAACCGAUAAUCCCCGUUCAACCUCACCCUUUCUUGUUCUUCCAGCCUAUAUACCGCCGUCGUCAGCUUACCUUGUGAAAGACCAACAGUAAGCAAAAAUGGCACAGCCCAAAACGUCAGGUCGAGGUGUAGCAUAUGAAAGGGGAAGAAAUGGGCUACAUUUUCUAAAAUAGAAAAUCACGGAUAACACAUUGAAACAUGUAUUUGAAGGAGGAUUUAGCAGUAAGUUGAAAAUAGAGUGUUCAACUGAAACUGGCCCUAAAGCGCGCACAUACCGCCCGUCACUCUCUCCGAAUAAAAACUUAAAAAUAACUAAAAACUCAUAAUCACAAAGGAGAGGCAAGUCGUAACAUGGUAAGUGUACGGAAGGUGUACCUUGGAAAAAAU